UGGGGAAGUGGAGAGAAAGAGACCACCAGGUGGUAGAACUGAAAACACAGCCCCCACAGGCAGGUGGGCAUUGUGGAGCUCACUACAAGAACUCUGGGACCGACCGACCAACCCACUUGCCCAGUCCCGUCCUGGGAGGUGGGGGUGCAGUGACGACAGAUGGGUGUGACGGCUGCCAGAUUCCUGAGACCCGCCCUGCGGUGGGGCUACACCCAGCCAGGAAGUCUCCAGAGGUGAGGCUGUUGUUUAAAAACCUGGAGCCGGGAGGGGAGACCCCCACAUUCAAGAGGAGCUUUCAGGCGAUCUGGAGAAAGAACGGCAGAACACACAGCAAGGGAAGGUCCUUUCUGGGGAUCACCCCAUUGGCUGAAGAUGAGACCAUUCUUCCUCUUGUGUUUUGCCCUGCCUGGCCUCCUGCAUGCCCAACAAGCCUGCUCCCGUGGGGCCUGCUAUCCACCUGUUGGGGACCUGCUUGUUGGGAGGACCCGGUUUCUCCGAGCUUCAUCUACCUGUGGACUGACCAAGCCUGAGACCUACUGCACCCAGUAUGGCGAGUGGCAGAUGAAAUGCUGCAAGUGUGACUCCAGGCAGCCUCACAACUACUACAGUCACCGAGUAGAGAAUGUGGCUUCAUCCUCCGGCCCCAUGCGCUGGUGGCAGUCACAGAAUGAUGUGAACCCUGUCUCUCUGCAGCUGGACCUGGACAGGAGAUUCCAGCUUCAAGAAGUCAUGAUGGAGUUCCAGGUG
Molecule: long non-coding RNA, 747 nt
Filed under: Pan troglodytes (chimpanzee)
Lineage: Eukaryota; Metazoa; Chordata; Mammalia; Primates; Hominidae
Description: long non-coding RNA NONPTRT001424
Source: RNAcentral